RNAcentral lists this long non-coding RNA (26160 nucleotides) under Coffea arabica (coffee). RNAcentral describes it as "long non-coding RNA (CARA_LNC007266)". The stretch from base 4613 to 4684 matches the Rfam family "tRNA". The record is from RNAcentral. Lineage: Eukaryota; Viridiplantae; Streptophyta; Magnoliopsida; Gentianales; Rubiaceae.
UUUUUUUUUUUUUUUUUUUGCACUACUGUAUUCAUCCCCUACUCUUUUACCUUUUUUUUUUUUUUUUUAAUAUGGGUUAAACGCAUCCUUGUCCUCUAAUCAUUUCCACAAUAUAGGGCCAGGUGGUGUGCCAGCAGGUUUCAUGGAAAUGUAAGCACUAUAAAGUUCUAAUCCAGCCAUAGGAGUAUUAAGAAAUGGCCAUCAUUAAAUUAGGGACGAAUCUUUGAAACUUGUUUAAUCGUUUGCAAUUCUUGUGCAUUACUUCAGCUCUAGUUUAUAUGGUAAAACACAUUCUCCAUGUCGGUGAGGGAUUAACUUUCAUUUUGAUUAAAUUAGGCAAAUCAUAUAUUUUUUUCCAUUCCAUAAUAAUUCUCUAACACUUCACCUUCCUUCGCAUCAUAAAAUGCAAGGCAAAGUAUUAAAAGCAAUUCUUGAAGUACAAAUGUCUCUUGUUUUAAAUUAAGAGCGAAAUAAGUCAUUUUAUAAUUUGGGAUCAAUUAGUCUAUAGUAAAUGUAUCACAUGAGAAAAAGGGCAUUUAGGGCUUGUUCUCAACUGAUAUUGAUUUUAUAAAAGUUGAUUUUAUAAAUUUGAUUUUUGAAAAUCAAAUUCUUUAGAAUACUCAUCUGUUCUCAUUUACUAUUAGAAAAGCCAUUAUAAUAAAUGCGUAGGUAUUCUAAAAAAAAAAAGUUAAAAAGCUGAUUUUGAUAGAAAGAUGACCUUGUUACCCUUAUGUGUUGCAAAAAUACAUUUCUGUGCUAAUUAAAUAAAUUUUUAAUUUAAUUAAUUAAUUUUCUUAUGAAGAUUAAAUGGCGGAUGCGAAAAUUAAAGUUUACGUAGAUGAAUCUGAAAGUGAGAUAAGAAUUGGAAGAAAAUAGAAAGACUAUAAAAAGUUACCUAAUUAAUCGUUAGGUAGUUUAGUAAUUAUGUUAAAAUUUGAAGGGUAAUUUAGUCUAAAUGAAAAAGAAGGCCAAAAUCAAAAUACAAACGCAACUCAAAACCUGCUUCUGAUUUUCAACUUUUUUUGGACCCGAAAAAUCUAAAAUCAAUUUUUUAAAAUCAAUUGAGAACACAAUAAAAUAAUUUUUUGAAAAUCAAAAGCUAAAAUCAGGUUUCCAAAAUCAGUUGAGAACAAAACCUUAGCAAAAACUACAACUUUGUGACAUGGAAAUUAUGAUAAGAACAGAAGUAAAUUCUUAAUUAGAUACUACAAGUCCUUAUUUCAGUAAAUUAGCCAAUUGGAACUCCAAAUUCCUAGCACCUUCCAAAAAGGAGAGAAUUAAACACAUUAAACAACAGCUUUAAUUACGAUGACCUUUUUAUAUAAUAAUCUUGGUUCAAGGAAAAAAAAAAAUCAUCCAACGACCAAGGAUACGAUAAAGAAUUACAUAGGUACAUCAAAGUCAAAUUGACGUCUACAAGCAAGCGUAUUUAUGAUUUGAUUUUUAAAAGGCAAAGAAAAGAAAAAUCAAAAGGUGGGAGAUACAAAUGCAAAUAUAACAAGAGUUUGAAAACCGUAGAACUUAACUUUCUUUUACUUUUAUUUUUUUACUGUUGGUCUUAACUUUCUUCAGCUGCCUUUGUCUCAUAGAACACACAUCACAGACUGUCCAAAUACAUUUAUAUGUCGUCAUUUGAUGUAUUCAGCUGUGACAUCAGACACUGCUAAAACAGUGAAACAAUUUUGGUGAAGUAUAGAAGAUUGCCAUUUUCAGUGUCGUAGCCAAAUCAUGAUCAGAUCAAGAACAUGGUGUUCAAUUUUCCCUUUUUUUUUUGGGAUAAUUGCAGAAACCUCCCCUGAAAUUUCUGACAUUUGCACUGACCUCCCCUCUAGGUUUUGAAAUUGUAUUCACCUCCCCUGAACAGUAACAAUUCGUUGCAGAAACCUCCCUGACAGCUUUUGUAGAAGUGAGAUAAGAAAUUUCUUCCAAUUUUGCCCUCUUCUUGCUUGACAAUUAUUAUUUGCUUGACAAUUGCUUAACUAAUUAUCUAAUUAGUUAAUAGUUAAACUAAUUAACUAUUAACUAAUUAUCUGAUUAAUUAUUAACUAAUUAACUAAUUAUCUAAUUAAUUAAUUAACUAAUUAUCUAAUUUAUAUUUAUCUAAUUAACUGCUUAACUAAUUAACUAAUUAACUGAAGCUGUUGUCUGUCCAAAACUAACAAACUAUUUGCAUGUUAAACUAAUUAACUAAUUAACUGCUUAACUAAUCAACUAAUUAACUAACUAACUAAUUAACAGACUAUUUGCAUGUUAAACUAUAUGCAGUACGCAUUACCUAUUUAAAGUAUCGGCUCUUUAUGAGUAUUUUACUUUCAAACAUUUAAUUUAUGAUAAAAACAUCAAUGUUUGUAAGUAAAAUUUAAAAAGUGUUACAGUAAUAUUCUUACAAAAAGGGAGGGGCAUAUGGCCAUAAAUUAAAUGUUUGAAAGUAAGAAUCUUGAUAUUUUUUGUAACACUUUUUGAAUUUUACUUACAAACAUUGAUAUUUUUAUCAUAAAUUAAAUGUUUGAAAGUAAAAUACCUAUAAAGAGCCAAUACUUUAAAUAGGUAAUGCGUACUGCAUAUAGUUUAACAUGCAAAUAGUUUGUUAAUUAGUUAGCUAAUUAAUUAAUUAGUUAAUUAGUUAAGCAGUUAAUUAGUUAAUUAGUUUAACAUGCAAAUAGUUUGUUAGUUUUGGACAGACAAUAGCUUCAGUUAAUUAGUUAAUUAAUUAAUUAGAUAAUUAGUUAGUUAAUUAGUUAAUUAGUUUAAUAUGCAAAUAGUUUGUUAGUUUCGGAUAGACAAUAGCUUUAGUUAAUUAGUUAAUUAGAUAAACAGAAAUUAGUUAAUUAGUUAAUUAAUUAGAUAAUUAGUUAGUUAAUUAGUUAAUUAGUUUAACAUGCAAAUAGUUUGUUAGUUUCGGACAGACAACGGCUUUAGUUAGUUAGUUAAUUAGUUAAGCAGUUAAUUAGUUAAUUAGUUUAACAUGCAAAUAGUUUGUUAGUUUCGGAUAGACAACAACUUUAGUUAAUUAGUUAAUUAGAUAAUUAGAUAAUUAGUUAAUUAUAUAAACAAAAAUUAGUUAAUUGAUUAAUUGGAUAAUUAGUUAGUUAAUUAGUUAAGCAGUUAAUUAGUUAAUUAUUUUAACAUGCAAAUAGUUUGUUAGUUUCGGAUAGACAACAACUUUAGUUAAUUAGAUAAACAAAAAUUAGUUAAUUAAUUAAUUAGAUAAUUAGGUAGUUAAUUAGUUAAGCAGCUAAUUAGUUAAUUAGUUUAACAUGCAAAUAGUUUAUUAGUUUCGGAUAGACAACGGCUUUAGAUAAUUAGUUAAUUAGUUAAUUAGAUAAAUAGAUAUUAAUUAAUUAGAUAAACAGAAAUUAGUUAAUUAGUUAAUAGUUAAUUAGUUUAAUUAUGCAGAAAUAGUUUGAUUAGUUAAUAACUAUUAACAAUUAGAUAAUUAGUUAAUUAGUUAAUAGUUAAUUAGAUAAUUAGUUAUUAAUUAAUUAGAUUAUUAGUUAUUUAGUUAAUUAGUUAAACUAUGCAGAAAUAGUUAAUUUAGUGUAAUUUUUAUUAACAAAUGUUUUGUUGGGUUUGGUGAAAGUACUCAUCACAUUCAUUUGGUAAAAUUAAAUCAUGUCAGGGGUACUUUAGUAAAUUGACCCACUUUUGCCUAUUAAAUUGCCUCCAACUUUUGAUAGGGGAGGUCAGUGCUAUUUCGAAAUUAAUAGGGGAGGUCAAUGCUAUUACUAUAAAAGUUAGGGGAGGUUUCUGCAAUUAUCCCUUUUUUUUUUGUUUUUUUGGCCCACUUCUUCUUAUUUAUUCCUUUUCUGUACCUAAUUUAGAGAUAAUAUGGAAGAAGAACAUUAUAGGGGGAUUAUAGGAAAACUACAAUCCUUUCUGAUGAGUUGCAUCUUCUCUUAGAUUAGAUGAAAAUCAUAAAUUCAUCACCGACAAAGUCCAAAAUAGCCACCUGGAAAAUUUGGCCGCCUUAAUCAUUAGCAAGCAAUGAAAUUUUUACAUUUGAGAUUACAGAUUGCGUCACAUCAUCUAAUCCAACAUUUGGGCAUGGUCAUUUACGUCUAACUGAAUGAGGUACAAGCAAUAGAGACAAAACUAUCAUCCCUAAGACCCCGCUUGGAGUUGCAGUGCGUUUACAAAAAAAAAAAAAAAAAAAAAAAAAGCAUUUAAGCAUUAAAAGUACUUGUAAGUUGUUUGACAACUAAUUUUUCGUUAUUUAAAUAGCCCAAUUUUUGGUAGUUUAAAAGCAUUUGUAUCAUAAGUGUUUUUUUAAAAGCUAUCGCAGUUUUAGAUGGGACGUAAAUCUCUUUAAAUUCUUUUUUUUUUUGUUAGUGACCAUAUAAAUUGUAGGCUUCAUAUCACCGUUUUUUUCUAUAAAAAUGUAAAAUUUUAUUAGAAAAUAGGCUACAAUUCAAGUUGGAUGGCUAGUUGAAAAUUUUUAUAGUAACCUAUCUCUUCUUUUGAUAUUUUAUUUUGCCUGAAUGUGAUUGAUGGCAUAGAAUAGAACACCCGUUCUCUUUCCACACGGACUACUGACAAAAACAGUAAACCGUAGCUAUCUGUUGAGGACAAUAUUUUUGAGAUUUAUAUUGCCUAAUAUAAAGUUUGGACAAACGGGCAUUUGGUCUAGUGGCAUGAUUCUCGCUUAGGGUGCGAGAGGUCCCGAGUUCAAUUCUCGGAAUGCCCCAACAUUUGUGCUAAUUUUUUUUUUGACAGGAAACUGCUCGAGUCAUUAAGCCACAUUACAGACCAGGUAAAGCAAAUGUCAUCAAAAUCUGAACAGUACUAGUAUUUAAGUGAACCAAAGGUGGAAUUCUCUCUUUAUAUUAUACAUCCCAACAACAUAGUACAUUUACACUUGAUCUAGAGAAAAAUAACUACAACUCCCCUAGUAAUUUUAUUGGCAUGGGAAGGGGCCAGUUGAAUGGAACAGUUUGUAAUUGGAUGAUGAACUUGUUAGAGGCCUAAGGUCCACAGCAUUUCAUGCCAUAUCUUCUUCCCACAAUCUUUAUUGUCAUUCUUCCCCAUGCUAGCUCCAAAUCUUCAAAAGGUCUUAGACAUAAUUCAUGCCCAAGAGUAGCAAAAUUUUCUCCACAAAUGGGGAAGCAUCCUCACUACGAGUAGAACGUAUACUACUACGCGAAAUCAAUGAUACAUCAAAACGUGCCAGACCCAAAAUUACGAUUGUUGCUCAAAGGACCAAAAGGACUUCCUGCAUCAUUACUUUUGGCCGCCGCAAGUGUUUUUUGUUCCCUCUUCAAUGCCUUCAUGGAUUCCUUCCGCCUUGGAAGCAGGGCCUUGUUGCCCCCUAAAAACACCCCACAGAUAAUACUUCCCCUGAAAUCCUGUAAAAGGCAUUUGUUAAGACACUCAAUUCUAAGCAAGUCUAAAACGCUAAAGUGUCUCAUCAAUUAAAGGAGAUGCAACUCACUCCAGUAACUAAGUGGCAGUUCAUUAGAGGCAAAAAUCAAGAGCUCUGCAUUUUUGACAAUUGCUUUCAUAGCAAGUUCUUGGUCCAUCAUCUCCUCAACCAAACAAUCAAAAAGCCCUUCAGACCUGCAGGUAAGAGCCUCAGAGUUCAAAAUGAGCCAAAUUUUGGACAAAUAAAGUGGGUUAGGGCAGGGCCAAGUACUGAAAGCAAUACCUUUUAUCCAAUGGAAAGAAAUAUAGUGCAAUAUUGUCAUCAGAUGGCUGUGAUUUUUGAAAACUCUUUGGCCAGCAAUCCAUUUUGGCAAGCAUUUCCAGUUCAAGCGCUGAUGGCAACAAGAUUGCCUCCUCAUAUACUUUCUCACAUGCUUUGCUAGAUAAAUGAGCUACUAAUCCAUCAUCAAAUUCUUGAUAAUCCUUGUUCAGUAUGACAAAAUUUCCUCUGUAAGUAAAUUAGGAAAGAAAGUCAACAUGGUCACUAAGCAUGUAUUUAUUUAAUUUUUUUAAGCAAACAUGUAUAACUUAGUUCACCAAUAACAUAUAAACCAAAUAAUCAUCAACCUCCAGAUUGGCUCAAUACGUGGCACUGCCUGUUCACGAUUGUCAACGGUUAAAUUAUUUUCUAAAUGACCUGAUGCUAAUUGAGAACCCUCCAAGCAUUCCUCAGCACCUUUUUGUGGCAAAUUAGCUGAUGAAACUUUAACCUCCAUUCUCUCCUUUUUGAGCAUCUCGAGCAAAGACAGCUCAUGAUCAUCCACCUUGGCUGCUGGGCAAGAAGUCUCGUUCAUCUCUAAUUCUGUAGACAAUGGAGUAUUGGUUGCACUAGCAGCAUGCUGAUCUUGCUCAGUGUGCCCAUGCUGUGGUCCUCUUCUUUUUCUUUCUUCGCUGGUGAUGACCAUCUUUUGUCCUUCAAGACCUUUUAAAGUUGUAUUAUUCCUUCCCUCACGAGCACUGUUGCUUUUCUCUGCUAGCUCCAGCUCUGUGCUUUCUUCAACCAGAUGAAAUCUAUGGUCCACCUCGGCUACUGAGCAAAAGCCCACAUUCUCCUUGCAUUCUGCUGACAACGGAGAAUUGGAAGUCAAUUCAUCAUGUAGUGAAGAUAACUCAUGUUCUAUGUUGCUUCUCUCUGUCAACUCCAGCUUUCUAUCUGUAUCACCAGUUUGAAGUCUAUGAUCUUCCACCUCAGCUACUGAGCAACAAGCCUCUUUCUCCUUUAAAUCUGUUGACAAUGAACUGGUAGCCAAAACAGUAUCUUGAACUUGCUCAGAGGGGCUAACCCUAAGCUGCAGUAUUUUUCUUUUUCUGCCUUUGCUGGCAACAACCAUCUCUUCUCCUUCAAUAUCUUUUGAGCUUGUAUCCAAGCCAUUGCUUUUCUCUGUUAGCUCUAGGUCUGUGCUUGCAUCAACCAGUUGAAAUCUAUGAUCUUUCACCUUGGUUGCUGAGCAAGAGCCCUCUUUCUUCUCCAACCCUGUUAAUAGUGGAGAGCUCAUAGCCAGUUCAACAUCUUCAAGUAGACUAGAGGGGCUACUUUCAAGUCUUUCAUCGUUUUCCUGUCCUAACAGUGCUACACUCUUUUUCUUCGGCCUCAGUCUUGGUCUUCUUCUUUCUCCAUCAACGACUGUCAACUGUCCAUCAACAUCUUUAAAGCUAGUAUGGACCCUUUCCUCAUCUUGAACAGGGUUAAAUUUCGUGGAAGGUAAUUCCUUUGACAAGUCAACCUCACAUAUAUCACAAACCCAAUGGACGAAUUCAUCGAGUUUUUCUGGCAACUUAUCUAGGCAAUAUCUGCAGAGGAAGCAAAUGGUAAAGCAAACGAAAAACAUUUAACUCUCAGACUGAUCCACCUCCAACACAAAAACCAAAAAUCAUGAAAAUCAAGCGUAUAGUUGUACAUUUUUAUAUUAAGAAGAAACGUGCCUGUUAUCUUUAAUGAAAUUAAAUACUCAGGCCAAAAAGCACGAUAAGUAAUGUGCAGUAGUAGUGAAGCAAUUAUGUUUUGAAUUUUAAAGUAUGACAAUUCUGCUGCACUAUACUUGUUUGAUCAACUUGUGUGUUGCAGGGUGUUUGAAUGCAUAGAUGCACACAGCAGGUAAUGUCUCUGUGUUUGUUUUGGCGUACAAAAUUUUUUUUUUGGGGUGUUGGGGGGGGGGGGGUUAUUUAUAGCCAAAUAGGUGCAGAAAUCAUGGAAGACUAGAGGUACCAAUUCAACAUACCUGUGAAUAAAAUAUUUCUGACACUUCACACAUUCAUUCAAUGCACUAGAAAAUCCUUUGCCACCACAUUGCAGGCAAACUCUCACCUGCAACACCAAGCAAACAGAUUGUAGUAUCAUAUAGACAGCCAAAUAACAUGAGCUUAAGGCCAUUGGGCCUGCAAACACCAUCAAAUUUGAUAAAAUAGCAAUUAUCCAAGAAUAUCUGUUGGAUAUCCAUUAUGCCAGCAAUUAUCCAAGAAUAUCUGUUGGAUAUCCAUUAUGCCACUAAGAAGAAAAUAUUUGGCAGGGGAUAACGCUUACCCUUUGACGGAGGUCAGACAAGGGCACAAUUAGAGUAAACUCAGACAUACAAAAAGGUACAUAAUUCUUCCCCAAAACCAGACACCUUGAGCAAACAAAUGAAACUCGUUUUUGCAGAAGAAAGAUAAUUGUGAGAACUCUAUAGAUUAUUGCAACGCAAGAGUAUGAGCAAGCAUUCUAAACCAAAAGCUGUUCAAAGCAUCUAAGGUGGCAUGUUCAUUCAGCAAAUGAUAUACUACAAAAGAAUGUUUGAGUGCCAUUCAGAACAUGAAUAUUAACUUAGAACUUUGAUAACAACUUGGUUUGAGUUCUCAUAUUUACCCACCAUAUGUGUCAACUACUAAGAAAUCAAAUUACUGAAAGAAGUAGAAAAAGGAAGUUUCAUCAACUUCUAUUGUUUCACAGUCAGGUCAGAAAAGACCAGCACAUAUAUGAAUGCCAAAAUAUUACAGCAUGCCACGGAAAAAGUUGUCAUAUGUCAUGAGUUCCUCAGCAAUGGAUGAUACCAGUAUUAAUUCUGAUCUUAGGUAGGUUAUCAACAAGAAGAAUGUUGCACUGUGCAGUAAACUUGUCAAAUCCUCAGAAUAUUGUUACUUCCCCAAAAAAUCUGCCAAAUAUGGCUGUGUGGAACUCGCGUACUAAAGUAUGCCCGUCGCGCCAUGUAGGCAUGACGGGAGGUCAAUAUUUUAAAAAAAAAAAAGACAAAGGGCCAUCGGCCCUACAUUGCGUGACAGCUGACACCUUUGAAAAAAAAUAUGGCCUGUCACACCAUGUUGGACCGAUGGCCCUGUCUUUUUAAAAAAAAAAAAAAAAAAAAUCUUGACCUCCUGUCGCGCCAUGCAUACUUUAAUACACGAGUUCCACACAACCAUCUUGGGCAGAUUUUUUUUUGGAAGGACAAAUAUUCUGAGGAUUUGCCCAGUAAACUUGGUAAACAGAAUUAAGUAAAAAAGAAAAAAAGAACAAUAAUGCCAUUAAAUAUGUCCGCUGAUGAAUCUACAACAUGUACAAGAAGUACUUUCACUUUGUAUGGAACAAACCAUUCCAUCUUCAGAAUUUGAAAAACACAGAGUAGACUAAACAUCAAAAGAAGAAGCCCUAGGAUCUGAUACAUCUCUAUAGUACAGUCAGGUCAGUCUUACCGAAUCACAACAUGAACUCCAAUAAACCAACCUAUCAGAUGAUCAGAAACAUGUUCUUUGAUUACCUUUUUAUCUUCUCAGCAUUACACCUUGUGAAAAGGGAAUGCCUUUUAUACUUUAGAAAGAAAGGACUCCUACAGCAUCAUAUCCAUUUUAUCAACAAACUAAAAUUAUUCAUCCGUCUUUAUCCUGACGGUGCACGGAUAAUUUUGACCCUCUUCAGCAACUCUCCUCAAAACCAAAAACAACUCCACCACGACACAUAUGCCAACUGCACUAUGUUCUCUAUAUUCAUUUUCCCUACUAAUCAUAUUGCCAUAGACACUUAUAAAUUUGCUGAUUAAAUAACCAAACAGAUAAAGAAAAGGGACUGCAUAGUUACAAAAUUUCCCAGAUAAUUGGACCCCCAAUUCCAAAACUUUCCCGGGCCCCAAAUGGAAGGAUGAAACUUUAGAAGUAAUUCCUUCCUACAAAAGGAUGAAUCCCGGAACCAAAUUAUCAAAUCAGCAUUCAAUGAACAGAAACUCAAAGAUUACUCCUUUAGAAAAAAAAAAAAAGGAUUAUUAUCUGCAUGCAACAAGAUAUACUACAUUUCAUGUUUGGACUAUGUCCAAUUCCAAGCAUCAAGUACAACAGAAAUUCGCUAAAAAAAAUAUAUACACAUUCAACAAAAUAUGGAAGAAAAAACUACCAUGGUGGGAUAAUUUGAAGAGCCCGGGAAGAAACCAAUCAAAGCUGACUAAUUUCAGGAAAAUCCCAUCAUAGACCUCAUUUCCACAGCCAAACUAGAAGAGCCCUAAUAGUGAAAUUCUGUUCUUUAAAAGAGUAAAACCUCAAGGCCCUCUUUGGAUUGGCAAAGAAUACUAGUGAAAAUUUUGUCAGGGCUUUUUCCUGCGACUGAUUAGUGACAAUUCAAUAAUGGGGAUUUUGAGGAGCUCUAUUUUCUUUUUUUCCCCCACUUUCUUUUUCGAAUUUUUCAGCAACCCUGUAUAAAUAGCGCCAACAGAAAAGAAGAACAGAGGAGUGUAAAGUCCGGAGAGUACAGGCACCGAGCGGCGAGAAAAUGGAACUUGGGUUGGCGUUGGUGCUUCACGCGCUGGCUGCCCGGGUAAAUUUUUGAGGUUUUCGUUUCUAUUGAUGUUUUGGGGGUAUUUGGUUUGUUAAUUUUUGGAUUUUUAAUGAUUUUCAUGCUGUAAAUUUGAUAAUACUUGAUCAAAUUAACUAACAAAAGUUAAUAUAUAAACUCAAGAUUUGAUAACCAUGUAAACUUAAUAUAUGAAUGCUAACAAAAGUUAGAAAAAAUAAAGACAAGAAGCUCAAAUAGGAAAAUGUAUUAUUCUUUAGGGAAAUCAGAAAUGUUAUUUGCGUUCCAUUUUUUGUUAUUUAUACUCUCACCAUUUGUUUUAUCACAUAGUCUAAUAAAUAAAAAUUUUAUGAUUAAAACGAUAAUAAAAGUGUGAUUAACAAAAUUGGAAGGACAAAUAACAUUUUCGUGUUCUUUAUUAUCUUUAUCUCAUCAGGUACAUCUCUUCAAUACAAUUAUAUACAAAUGAGGUUUCAAUGGUCUCUGUUAAUGGGGAAGUUUAUAUCCUUUGAAGUGUUAUGAAUUUAUUGAUGAAUCAUUAGUGGAGAUGAAUGUAUUAAUUAAUUUAUUUAGAGGGAUGAAUGUGUACAUCCGUAUUCCAUUAAUUUCAUAACAUUACACUAAAUAGACUCAAAAAAAAAAAUUCUUGCUUUUAUCAUGCAUCUUCCUUUAAUUGAUAAAUUAAAGCGAAUUUUUCAAUUUAAAAAUGUUUAAAUAAAAAAAUCUUCUAGCAUUGUUAUAAAAACAAUAAAAAAAAAAACACUUGCUUUUAUUAUUUCUUGUAUAAGAAAUUGCACAUAUAACUUUUAUCAUGUAUCCUACAUGAAUUGGCAACCAAAUGCAAAGGCAUGACUUCAGUGUUGUAUCACAAAUUAUUACCAUUGAAAAUUCUCCUCUUGCUACAAAUAUUUCAAUUUUUUUGACUGGAGUGAAUUUCAAUCUCCCACUUACUUUCCAACGAGAAAGAAAUGAUUUCACUGUCUGACAGUGUAUAUAAAAUUAAUUCUUAGAUGGUUUUCGUUUAUUAUACCUCAAUCAGAAAGCAAAAGUAAGGGAAUUUCUUUCCCAUUAGGAAGCAGUAAAUAAGGAGGAGAUUGAAAUUCAUAUUGUAUAAGAUGAACUCUUAACUUUUAAGUUUUAUGUACCUUAACAUCUUAAAUUUUCUGUAUUCCCUUUAACUGAAAAUGUAUCAAUCAUUUGUCUUUCACAGGUAACUGUGAUUAGAGUUCAAUAUCUCUUGCCACAUUUUCUUGUUCCUUUAUCCAUUCUCUAUUCUGGUUUGGGCAUUGGCUUUUAUGGAUGGAAAGAACAAUUGCAAUUUGACAUUAUUAUUAUUCUUUCUAAGCUUUGGUCCAAAUUAUCUUACAGCUUUCCGUGAAGUAAAUUUUCACCUCAUCAUUAUAUCCAACAAAGAAGUGGUCACCAACCACCAAGUAAUAGAUAGUUUGAGGAUUCAUUUUACCGGUGCUGUUUUCAUCAAACACUUAAAGUUUAUGGUGACAAUCAAGUGCAAUUAGGUUAAUAAGAUGCUUUACUUGUAAUCAUAUAUAUAAACAACUGAUCACGGAUUCGAAUCAUCCUUAUUAUGAAUAAGAUUCUAAAAUAAUAAUAAUAAUAACCAAGUUUAUGAAGAAGGUUGUCGUUCGCAUCAGUGAUGGAUUAUUCAUGGAUGCUCUUGCUAGAAACUAUGGGAAGAAGGCAUUCUACUUUUACACAAAACAGAAAGAGCAGUGAAAAUAAUCAAAUGUGAUUACCAAGAGGGGAAGGCCUGAAACCUUACCUCAAUAAUUACAUAAAAGAUCAAGUCCUAAUGUGAGUGCAUCACACUUUAUCUAAUCUAAAACAACAUUGGCUAAUGCAAAAAAAAAAGCUUACCAUAGAAAUAAUGAUUACAAGUUGAGAAACAUCCUACAUUAGACAUAAUAUCCGCGGACUGACUACAUUGAAUUGAGUAAACAAGAAACUAAUACCCUCUACCUUUCUAGCAGCUGAACCUAUGUUGAACAAGUGAAAGGUUUGCUUUUCCUGUCCAGACUAUUCCGAAGGGCUCUGAGAACCAUUCUCAACAGUCAACAUAAACAUCAACCAGGUUAUGAGAGAUUAAUUUAAGGCCUUCCAUAUGCUGGUCUGCAGCAUUUGCUCUCGAAGCGCCACCAUCGUUCACUUGCAAAAGGGAGCUUGAAGAAGGAAACAGGAUGUAGACAGAACAUUUGGAGGACCAGGAUGAUGAAGCUUAGUCCCUAAACCUGCAGCAAGCAAUUCAUCUUCUAUGAACAAAAGCAAAGCCAGGAGAGCUUUUAUGUAGAAAGGGAACAACUUCUGCAAGGAAAGAAACCUUCAAAACUAUCAUUUUCAUCUCCAAAGUCGAGGCACUGACAAGUCUGACCUAUAUCCAGAAGACACUGAGCAACCGAGCAUAUACGAAAAUGCCAUCGUAAGGUGGUCAAUGAAGACCUUUUAAGUUAGCAACGGAAUUGACAAAGCAGUAAGCUCAUUCAUGAAAUACUAAAUAGAUUAUCACUGCUCACUAGCACAACACACUAGUGAAUUAUAGAAGAAACAAGCAGCAAACAGCAACGGCUUUAGUUAAUGAAAGAAAAAAUCAACAGCAACCAGCACAAGGAAAUAGCAGAGAAAAGCACCAGGAAAAUAAUUGAGGAUUGUGCUCAAGUCCGUAGCUCAAAAAAAUUCUAGCUUUGGUGAAUAGUAGAUUAUAGGCCAUUCAGAUUGUCUUUAAGUGGGUAACUAGCUAUUGCAUGGAAGAAGAGAGCACCAUUUGAAUUUCUGUUUCUCCUCUUUAGAACCCUAAAACGCAACACAAACAAGAGUAUGGGAACUAGGUGGUCACUAACUUGGUGCAAAAUACCCACAGCAUUCCAAUUUCAGAGGUCAAUCUUUUCUCCAUAACAAUGAAUAGAAUAGUUUGCCAUUUGUGAAAUGAUAGGAACCUGUAAAAUAAAGUAGAUAAGCCUUAGAACUUAAUACAUCAUAUUACAACUAGACCUCACCUCUGGACUUUCAUUCUUGCACUUAGAUGUCGUUUCGCAGUUAGAAGCCAAGACAGUGGGAACCAAGAAGGAUUCUCUCGUAGACACUUUUGAGCAAUCAUUUGAAAGUUUAAGCCAGGAAGAAGCACCAUUUAUCGACCUUGCAGUGCCAACUGUUCCCAAAGGGAGUCUAUCUCUCAUAUUUCUGUUCCGAAUCUCAGCAAACCAUUCAGCCAAUGGCAUCUCUUCGACACAUUCAUAGUUGCUAUCUGAUUUCUCCAGUCCCCUUGGGAUUAUGCAUUCUUCUGUUGAAUUUUCAGAAUUCUCCUCAUACAUAGUCUUGCAACCUUCAUCCAUGGUGCCACUUUUAUCAGUGACCUCUUUCCUUUCUGUUGGAGAAUCUAUCACAUGCUGAGAUGCCUCAUCAUUGCAACUUGACUUACUAUUCCUGAAAUUGUAAAGAAGAAAAGUCCUGUUAUUGUUUUGAGACGCCCAUUAUAUUUCCCAAAACAAAGUGAGUACCAUUUAAACCACCUAUUACCUAAUGAACAAAAUUCAGAGAUGGGAGGCAAAUUAUGUUCUCAAAGUCAUUAGGAAGCUUAUAUAUAUCAGUCCAACCAAAAUUUUUUUACUUCAUGCACUUUGGUAACAGUUAAGAUGAGCAUAACAAUGCUAAACCCUAAUUUUCACUCUUCUCCUUUUUGUUCUUUAAUCAUGCCUACUUUUGCAACUCUCCUCAGUUUCAAAAAAUGCCACAUAUUUAUAUAUAAAUAUUAGUCCCCUAAACCUAAUCAUGCCUAAUUUUGCAACUCUCCUCAGUUUCAAAAAAUGCCACAUAUUUAUACAUGUAUAUUAGUCCCCAAAACCUAAGUACCUACGUAGCAUAUGAAACUCAAAUCUGCAACACUAAAAAGACUGUCCUUGAGGAAGUCAUGGUUUAACAUAAAUAUCUCAGUGUUCACCUGUGAAAACAAAUAAAUAAUCAAAACUGCUACCACUUAUAUUAUGAAAUCAAGAAUCCAUAACUUUAAGGGCAGAAACCAUAAAAAUGGAUCCAGAAGACAGAAAUAUAAUUGUCCCCACACUUUCUUUCACACCCAGGGUAUCAUUUAGUCCGAGUACAAAGAAAAAAAAUGAGGAAUGCUCUUAACCAGGCAGUCCCAGCUAGACACUUGGGGUGGUUUUACCAACUCACCACCCACUAAAUUGAUCUAUGACCCCAAAGUAAGUGACAUGCUCUACAGCAAAAAUUCCCAGUACCAACAACCAAGUUAAUUCACUUCUAAGAGAUUGAAUUAUUCUUGUAAAUAUGAAGCAUCCAACAUAAGUAAGCACCCGGCUGCAAAAGAAUAGAGCCAAAGAAAGCAUAAGAUGACCUUAGAAAAGACAAAAUUUAAAGCGCCUAUUUCUGCCUUUUCUUUAAUUCUUUUUUUUUUUUUGGGUAGAACCAUAAAAUAUGCUACUCAGCUGAAGAGCCAAAAUCUAUUACCAAAUGAUGUCAACAGGAAAACUAUUCUUUUCAUUUGGAACUAAAAGUAGUUGGAUGUCUCACAACUUACUCAUGCACGAUUUGACUUUCAACAGAGGAAAGCAGAGGACUAGAACUCCCUUUCUCACCAUGCUCCGGAAAGCUUGUCACCUGCAAUGACAAAAAGUAUUGGAACGUACUUGAGGUACUAAAUUCUAUGAGGUUUUAAACGUCAACAGAAAUUUUGUGAUUACUACAAGGGAAAGACAGUUGUGGAAAUAGUUCUCAGAUUUAAUGGAUCCUAACCAAGAUGACUCAGGGAACAUGGUAUAAAGAGCACAAGACAGUUUUACAAAGGCAAUCUCAUCCCACUCUGCCAGAACUUAGAUUCAUUGGCAGCAUACAGCUAUAAAUUACAGAACUUUUUCCAAUAGAUUCAUUGGCAACCCACAGCUAUAAAUUACAGAGCUUUUCCAAUUGUUUAUCCUUUCAAAUAUAUUCCAACCCAUGUGGUUUAGAGAACAAGCUUCUCAUAUUAGGCUCACAAGAUGGAUCAUGCAUAUACUAACAGCUUUGUGUUAACAAGUCAAAUACCACAUAUAAAAAGUGUAUAUAUUUCAUCUCACAAAUUUAAUCAGUUAAAUGUACAGAAAGUAAGAAUUGUACCAAUAAAUGUGUGUGUGCCUCUGUGUGUGUGUGAGAGAGAGAGAGAGAGAGUCAUUGUAGCACAGGUAAUUAAUGGAAAGAAACCAACAAAGAGCAUUUAGACUAUUUUUAAAAAAUCGAUUUACAAUGAUGCCAUAACAUGCAUAAGAAUUGGUUGAAAUUGCCCUUUAAGCAGUUUAUUUUUUAGUAUGCAAAAGACUGAUAAAUAGAAACUGGAUGCAUCAUCUUAUUUACACCGUUCUAUGUUCUCUCACUUCCUCUAUUUCAAUCAUUUUCGUCUUCUCUAUCUCUUUUAGAAAAUACCUAAGGUAUACUCCAAAUCCCAAAUUGGCUGUUGUCACAAAUCAAUCCUGGUAAGAUUUCAUGCAGGAAAAACUUCAUCUCUGGCAUAAAAAGGUUGAAUAUCUGGAACUUUUAGUUCUAAAAAUCAAAGUCCAGGCUCACAAAAGAUUAUUAUUCAGUAAAAACUAGUAUGUCAGAUUUUCAUGCAUGAUCACCAUCGAUAUCUAUCUAUACAAUAUAUAAAGUCAGAGGGAUAGCAGUUGGUGUAAUUUUUUUUUUUUUGGUCAUUUUUUGAACUUCCAAUUUUAUCCUUAUAGAAACUAAUUUUUACCUUAAUUAACUAAUUACAUUUUGCCAAAAUAACUACUCAUAACCACCCUAAGUAUUGUAAUUACCAAUUACUAUAACCUUAUAAAUCAAAGUUCUUUAAUAAAUUCAUAUAAAUUGUAUUUAUGUGAAAUACAAAAUUUAUAUAAUAUUAAUUCAUUUUAAUUAUUUUUAAAUUGAACACACAUUGACUGUGCCCCUAAAAAUAGCUUUUUUAAAGUAUAUACAUUUAGAAAGUUAUAUAGAUCAGAUUACUCUGCAGAGUAUCAAAUCAGAUCAUAAAUAAAUACCAUAUCACAAGCUUAGCCCCUGUUUCUCAAAAUGAAAGUUUUAAUACUUAAAAAGCGGUGUUGAAUACUCAUCUCAAAGUUUUAAUUACGAAAAAAGGAUAAACUAGUAUACAUUAGUGUAGAAAAAGAGUAACACCUGUAUGCCAUUCCUACCUUCCACUCAGUUGGGCACAAUAUGACUUGCCAAUGCAAACAAGACUACCAAAUAGUCAGGUAGUUUACAGAACCUAGAAUGAACGAAUAACUAAAGAGUUAAAGCUUAUUAAACAUAGAAAGAAUGCAGGUAGAUAGAUCCUUGUUUUCUUACACUUUCUGCAUAAAAAGAGUAUGAGUUAGUCUUUGGUUUAACUUAUCAGAUUCUACACACUCCAUGGGGCAGCCAUCUGGAUAAAUGGGAAACAAAAAGAAGGGAAGCUUACCCAUUUACUUAUCAGACAACACCAUCCGAUGUUUACGGCCAAAUGAAUGACAAAGAACAGUUAUGAAAGUUAAAAAGGGAAACCGAAUACCCCUGCGCUGAUGAUAUCACAAUAACAAUUUAACUACAUAAAACUCAAAGGAAUAGAGAAGCAUACACGUGGAAAUUGAUUCAUUAUACCAGGCAACUUCCAAUCUUUGAUAUCAGUAACUCAAGCUUGAAGGAUCCAUAAAUCUUCUUCUUUCAAUGAGUCAAUAAACUUUCUAAAGCAUUUGCUCCCAUAAUCAGUACCAAUAUAAAACAACAUAUUAACAAGUAACUUGAUCUUAGAAGUUAAAACAGUACAAACUUCUAGAAUGUCAUCUAUUUACCUCCAUAAUAAGUGUUAAAAGGUAAAAUUAUACAAAUUACAAAUGAUUCCACACAAAAGGCAGCACAAGUCUAGCAAAAAAGACAUGUAUACUCCCUCAUGAUGGAUCUCAUGUCUGGUAAUUUGCCCAUACACCUAUGGUAUUUGGGACCUUGCACAGUAGGGGCACAAAGAUAGAUCCCCUAGAUAACAUCAGGGCAAUAACAUAGAUCCAAGAUCUAAAAGCUGGGCACUUACAAUCCAGGUCGACAACCAAAGUCAAUAGCGAAAUAAAAGUAGCAAUAGAAAUUUUCUACUUAACCAUUCUACAUAUGUUCAUCUCUUAUCCUUCCAGAUAUAAUACAACAUUGAAAAAUUGAACACGAAAAAAGAGUUGUGAAGCAAGAAGAUACAGAUUCACUUGCAAUGUUCCAAUUAUCUUUCCCAAGGUGCAAUUCUCUGGCUCAAUGUCAGUGUGAGUAAACUAUAUACCUUGUUGAGCUAGUUUUUUCUUCUCAGAGUGAAAAAGAAGAGCAUAUUAAAAAUUUGGAUGAUCACAACUGACUGGAAAGCAGUUUUUGAGCAACAUUUAGUUAUGGAAUCGUAAUCACAAGAAACAAGUCAUGCAUGCAUCCUUUGACUGCCUCUAUUCAGACAUUUCUAUCCCUAUUCAAGAAAAUGCCAUAAAAGAAGACAAUCAUAGAGUUGGAUGAUGAUUACAGAGUUCAAGAAAAAUCAAAAGAAUCCCAUUAGGAACAGCAGAAAUUAUAAAACUUGACAAAGAGGUGAAAUUUUUAUUCAGGGUUUGUUUGAAACAAUUAAAAAGGUACUUGUUGCUGAAUUUAAAGAUAAAAUUAUCAAAAUAAACAGAACAUUUUGUUUCUACUUUUCAGAGAUCUAAUGAACAACAGCACAAAGAACAAGGCAGGAUGGCAACAGCAAAUAAGGCAAAGCAUAAUACAGGAAACUAACUAUUUAAUUCUCCGUCAGUAUAUACUUCUUCCAAAAGAAAAAAAAUGUUCCUUUUCCUAGUAUGAAAUUAUUGAUUUACCAAAAGUUUUCACCAUUACCAUUUCUUCCUUGCCAGCAAAGCUGGGAACGCUUGCACUAUGAUAACUUGUUUCAGACGUCACUUUCGAAUCCUCAGCCUUGGCAAACUCUGCAUGGGAAGUGGUUAGAGUGGACUCUGGUAUCGAAAUUGUCAACUCCAAAGAAGGUUCAGUAGAAGCCUCUUUUACUACGUUAUAGUUUGGGAGGUUGAGCUGUGCAGAAGGACCAUACAUUACUCUUGCGGCUUUAUCAUAUGCCAGGGCAGCUUCAAUUGCAGUACCAAAUGUACCCAACCAAAGUCGACUACCCUUUUUGGGUUCCCGUAUUUCAGCAACCCAUUUACCCCAUGUCCUCUGCCUGACACCUCUAUAAUUAUGACGAGAGUUCUCAGGACCUCCUUUACCUUUCAUACAUCCCUUUUUUGACCCUCUCCCUGGAGCUUUACGCACCAGCUUACCAUUGGUAGAUUCAAUUUUAUCAAAGUACUCUUUCCACUUGUUAAGAGUCUCAGACACAUGUUUUGAUGCAUCACUCCGGCGCUUGGAAUUCUUUCUUCCAAAAGGGCCCAGCGUCAAAGAAGUCUCAUCAGAAGCUGGUUUAAGUGGACUCAUUCUUUUUUAUCAUGACAAAGAAGAGUUCCACUAUAACUCACUGUGAAAAGUAAAAGGUGAGAUCUCAAAUUCUCUCAUUUUUGACAAGAUUAACAUGCAGAAACAAAUACACGCACAUACAUAAAUAAAUAUACACAUACUAUACAUAAGAACAAAGCUUCGGCUGAUUACUUUGCAUAAUUCCAUGUAUCCAAAAAGAAGAUCUAUAAGAAAACUUUACAACUCCUCACAGGUCAUCAAACUGCUAUGCAUGGCAAAACCAUGGUCGAAUGGAAAUAAAACCUUCAAGUAAACUGGCCGCUGACUAAUAAUCACUAACACCAACUAUUUUCUGAUAAUUAUCAUCAAAUUUCCAAAACUAUUAGUUCAGGUUGUGAUCACCAAGCUUCUUAUCCCUUCAAACUAAAUAAAACAGUUAAUCGGUAAUUUGCAAGUUAGUUAGCUAAACAAACACGGCUACUAGUUUCUUUUAUACAAGUAUUCUCUCAAACAGUCCAAGAUGCGUUUAUUUCAGCACAAAUUCUCCAUAUCUAGUACCUCUUUUGAAUCCUUCCAAUUUCUUGUAAUCCAUCCCCUUACAAAGAUUUUCUUUCAAGGAGUACAUAUGUUUACCCACAGUUAAACCAAUUCUUCUUAUCCUUCCCCAUUCAUUAGAUUUUUUGUCCAAAUAUGAAAAAAAAAAGUCUUUUCCAAUUGAUUAAGUAAAAAAAGGAAAAAACAAAAGUUGAAUCUGAAUAUCAAUACAUAAACAUUGAACUAACAAUUAUAAUUCCUAAUUGUGCUGAUAUCAAAGCAGAAUACUAAAGUAAGCACUACAACCAAAAUAAGCAGACCCCAGAAAUAAAGGAAACGCAAGAACAAAACCAAAUUAAUACUAGUCUCUCGUUUAAAUUCAAAGUUAACAAAAACCCAUCUCAUAAGCUGCAAGAAACAUAAAAUUAACUGCAUGCAAACAAAACCCACAACCCAGAAAUAAAUAUUUACACUUUAAUUAACUUGUUCUAUCAUAAGCAGUUAUACAAAACCGACAAGAAUUUGAGGGAAAAUAAUUAAAGCAUCCUUUUUUGCAUCAUGAAAACAAAAGAAUUCAUGCUGGGGUUUAACUGAAUUUACCUCUGAGAAUUAUUGAAUGAGAGCAAAAAUUCUAUUUUUUUCCCCCUUAGCAAAUUCUCUCUUUCCCUGUUUUGGUGUGUGUUUCUGGGGGAGAGAGAACGUGUGUUUAUGUGUGUGAAUGUGACAAUUGUUUUCUUCGGUUAAAGUGGCUCUGGACGAGGGAAAUUUGCAGUUGUUAGUCCUUCUUGUUUUCGAUUAGUUUCGGUUUAGUCCCUCAUUUUCCUAGUUUGGCGCAUUCAGUCGUUCAAGUUUUGGAUAAUUAUUGAUAUAAUUUUUAAGGGGUCAGCGUCAAAUACUUAUUCUAAUAUGCGGAACAAUAAUUACUAACAAAUAAGUUAUGUUUGAUUUUUAAAAUUUUUUAUUCAUGAAUUUUGCACUAAUGAAGUUUUUUUUUAGAAUAUUUUAUAGUACACAAAAAGUUUAAAUAGUUUUAUAACAGUGUUGAAAUUAGGACAUGAAUGAAGUUAUAAGUACAAUUGAAUCCAUAUUCGUAUAAAUCAAGUAUUCUAAUUAUUAUUGGAAAAAUGAAAUAGAUUUGAUAAUAUUAAGCUUAAAAAUUGAGAACCUUUCACUCACUAACUGAAAGUACUUGAUGAUUUAAAAAAAGUUAUUUCUUUUAAUCCCUUAUUCUAAGUUAAUUUUAUCUAAUAGUUAGAAAUAAUUGAGCAAAUAUCACUACAUAUUAUGCCAUAAUUGAUUUACUCGCCAAAAUUUGAACCCAUGGACGAGAGAAUCCAACUUAAUCCAAGUGCAUGGCUAAACUUUUCAUGGAGUGACAAAUCAACAUUGGAUUAAUCUAUUCAUAAUUUUUUUUCUAAGUGAAAAUGCAAUAACUUGAACUACCCUUUGGAUACUAACAUUACUUUAGCUUUUUAUAUUUUAGCUAAGUACAUUUUACUCUUAUAUGUAUAUUGUAUUUAUCUCAUCUUUUGUUUCUCACAUUUAAAUUUUCGUAAAUAUUCUCUCAAAUGUUAUGUCGCUAGAUAUUUCAAUAUAUUCCUAUAAAUAAAGCAAUCUUGUAAAAAUAAGGAACUAAUUGUGCUAAAAUUCAACUACAAAGGUGCAAAAUUCUACACCACCAAAACAUAAGCAGCUACAAUUUUCUAACACUGAAAUACAGGGGGCUAAAUCCUUUUAAAGUGAAAUAGAGAGGACAAAACAAAACUAGCAGUAAAUAUCAGGGACCAUCAUUAAAAUUGGUCUUGGUCGAGUACCCCACCUACUCAUCAGAAAGUCGGUGGAUAGCGGUGGUUUUUUUUUGGAGGGUAAAGCUCACUGCUGUUUUAAAUUCGUCAUCUUCAAUGCACUAUUCCAACUUGCCAACUAUAUCACAUUUUCCUGGAAAAUAAAAAAAUAAAUAUGCCACACAAAAAUUGUAUAAAUAUAGAAAAUAAAAGAGCACCACCAAUUCAUAAUCAUUUUUGAACAUUACAAAGAGAAUUUUAUUCAUAAAUUCACUCUGCAAAUAUUUUGCAUCAAAUUUUCCAUAAGUUUCAAUGAAUAUUGACUUAUAUUACACGUCCAAAAUUUUUGUCUAACGAGUCUUCUUGAGAAAACAUAAACUAGCAUAUCAUACAUUUCAGAUGAGAAAUAUAAGCAUAGCGUUCAAAGAAAUAUUAAUCGCACCUCGCUUUUUGUAAAUCACAUUCUUAUCAUUUAUUUUAUUGUAUAUUUAAUACAUGAAAACCAUAUGAUAAAAAUAAUAUUGUGAAUGCGAUUAACAAAAAGUAGAGUGCGAUUAAUAUUUUUUAAUAAUUUAUUACUAUGACUUAUAAAAAUAGUUACAGAAAAUAGGGGAAUCUUGCGGAUUUGUAAAAAGUUCUGAAUACUUCAUCGGUACGUGAUAUAUAUACAAUAUCAAGGAUGAUAAUACCGAGGUGAUCAAUUGAUUAUGGCCACAUUAUGAGACAUGGUUGCAAUCACAAUCUUUUAUUUUAAUGUAUACAUAUAAGUUGGGUAAUAAAAUUUUUCACAUAGAAAUGAUGUGACAUAAAGUGUAAUAUGCCUAUAUGGAUAAGGUAAUUUAUCUAGCUACUCAUUAAUUUGAAGAAGGGAAACAAGAAAAUUACAAAAAUCAAAAGAAUCAAGUCUAGAGCCAAAACAUGAGAAAUGUCAUCAUUACACCCAUGGAGUCUUGCUUCAACGGCUUUGAUUAGUCUUGAUUUCACCAUACAUCUUCACAGGGCAUACAAAAAUGACAUCCAAGACCUGUCUUGAUGCCAAAACACAAGGCAGAGAGCAGCAAUGAAGAGAAAAAGGAACUAAAAUUGGACCUAUCAGAUUGUGACAAUGCUUCCAGCAGACUAUUGUAGCUGAUUGUUUCAAUAUCUAGCUCUUCUUUGCUUUGUUGGUUGACCAUGUAGGAUGCCUAAUAACGAACGGCAAACUAGUUGCUGAUUCAUUACAGCCACCUAUAUCCACAGCAUAUAGUAUUUCAUUUCUCCCCAUGUAUUAAACAACUUACUGACAUAAGAAGUUCUGGAACCAGACUGUUGAAAGUCUGACCAAAAGCCUAUUCAAGUGUUUGUGACGAAGUACAAAAAUUGACAUACUUGACUAAACUAGAAGAUGCCCAGAGGAGAUAGAAAAUCUCAAAGGUUCUAUUCAACAGGGAAGUGAAGGUAAGUGAGUAAUCUCAAUGUACCAAACACAACAUAAAACUAAAUUUUCUGACUUCAGAUUUUACGCGUGAAAGUAGAAGCAAUGUGUAGAGCAUAUCUGCUUGCGAAAUAUCUGUACAUCUCUCGAGCAUUUGAAGGAAUGCUUUUGGCGCUAGUUCCUGCUGAAUUGAGUUCUAGGGGUGGACCAUGGUGUGUUGUCAUCUGCUUCUUCACCAAUGCUCAUUAUGUCUUCAAGUAUUCCCCCUGGAAGAACAGAUUGAAUCCUAACUGUUGGUUUCCUUGGUGGCAAAGAAGGGAUUGGAGCUUCCCCUUGAAGCAUCCUUGCAGCUUCCCUCAUGGUAGGCCUCUUCUGAUGAUCAGGGUGCGUGCAGCAAAGUCCAACCAUGAGCAUCCUUCCCAUUACUUUCCUGUUAAAGCACCUCUUCAGUUUAGGAUCAGCAGCCUCAAUUAAUUUUCCUUUCCCCCACAAUUCCCAAACCCAAUCAGUAAUCACAAUUCUGUUGUCCUCGACUGGCCUCCUACCUGAUGCGACUUCCAGUACCACGACACCAAAGCUGUAGACAUCACUUUUCACUGUUGGAACUCCGGAAAAGACAUACUCGGGAGCAAGAUAUCCCAUUGUUCCAGCUGGUACAGUAGCAUCUCGCAUUUCGAGACUGCGUUGAUACACCGCUGCUAAACCAAAAUCUCCAAGCUUGGCAUUGAACUCAGCAUCAAGCAUUAUAUUACAGGCCUUAACAUCCCUGUGGAUUAUCUGAUUAAUGCACUCUUCAUGCAGAUAUACCAGAGCAGAGGCCACACCAAGUACUAUGUUUGAUCUUCGCUCCCAUGUGAGGAACUUUGUAACACUGCUCCGGCCAUGCAGGAUCUUAUCCAGACUUCCAUUAGGCAUGUACUCAUAAGCCAGGACUAACUCAUUCCUCUCGCAGCACCAUCCCUUGAGCUGAACUAAGUUCUUGUGUCUCAAGCAGCCAAUCAUUGUAGCAAAUUCAUUGUCAAAAGGAAUACGCCAGGCCUCAUCAAAUGAAUUGUGUGAAGGGCCUAUGCUUUUUCCAUGAGUAAAUCUCUUAAUUGCUACAUUUCCACAGGAAGGAAUUUGUCCUUCAUAUACAACUGCUGAGGCACCUUCACCAAUAAUUCUGUCCUCGUUGAACCCCUUUGUAGCUUCCUUUAUCUCUCUCAGUGACAAGUAUUUUGGUACUUUAUAGCUCUGAAAUCUGCCAACAUGAUAUUCAAUGUGCCGCUCUCUCUUGGCUUUGCUUCUAUUCCUCUUUAUGCAACAUAAAAUAACAAACAGAGCAACUGCAACUAGAAUUACUGUGAUUACAGCUGAACCUCCUAUGACAAGAAUCAAUCCAAAUUUCCAUUUUCUUGAACGAUCAAAAUUUAGGUCAAGAUCCCCUGGAAAGCACGCCAGACAAUCCCCUUCUUCAACUGUAUCCAUAGACAAUGUUGAAGAUUGAAACCAGAAAGUCUUAAAUCGCCAACGACUAAUACUAUGAAUAGCUGAUCCUCCACCAUUAGAAGCAGUAAAUCCCACAUGCAUAAAUUCUUUAAAAUCGCCAGUAAAAUCAGCCUGAGCAACAAGAAUAGGACUAAGUGGCCUAACCUGAGAAUAUCCCACCCAUACCCUGAUCAUCUUCUCCGAAUUUCGAUACUCAAUCCAAGCAGUCAUCUCCUUUCCAGCUUUAAGAUCAAUCCCUCUUGAGACGACGUCAACAGAAGCCAAAGAUUUAAUUUGUCUCACAUCAACGCCAACAUGGUUCCCAUUGAUAUCAUCAAAAAAGGGAUUAUAACUCGUGUCAAAUUCUACAGCAAUGAAUGAAUCUUGAAUGUUGGAAACUUCUUCCGGGAGGCCCAUCCAACCGUCGGUAAUGCUUAAAGAAUCCAUAUUGGAAGUGACCAGAAAUGCAAGUCCAUCUCCAAAAGGGCAAGAAGGGGUGGGGGAAAUGUUGAAUGAAAAGCUGCAAGAGAAUGAAGCAGCAGUGCCUUUGGAUGAAGAAUCAAGAAACCGAAUUGGGUUGAUGUAAAAGGCUCUGCCAAUGCCUGAAAGAGAGGUGGAAGAAGCUGAUUCUAGGGUGGAUUGUGAUGGCAAAGUGCAUUCGUGAUCUUGAGUUAGUCUGAUUGAAUCGUUCUCAACGGAUGCAUCCCCAAAAAGGGUGACAUUGUUUGCAGGAAAAUAAAGUGGAGCUGAGGAAGACAAAGAUGAUGAAGUGUAGGCAUAGAGAAAAAGAAGAUAAGCCCGGAUGAGUAUGGUUGAAGAUGAACGCAUUCUGGGAAUUUGGAGCUCAAGAUUCAAACUUUGAUCAAGAAAUGGAAAGUUGAGAGUUCUCGGAGGAAGUUUUCUCAAGGAUUUUCAUGGGUUGAUUUUGAUCUUGGGAGCUCAUGAGAAAUGACAGAUUGGGUGAUUUUUCUCCAAUUUACAACCAGGGAUUUUGGAGAACGUUGCCAAGAAUCAAGAAAGUGAAAAACCCCGUUGAUAACUGCAGAAAAAACGAAGAAAAAUGAGGAGGGGAGGAGGGGAGAAGGGGUUGAAUCUUGCAAAUUGAAACGUGGAGUGGAAAAAUAUGGCGGGGAAAUCAGUUGUAGGCUUUGGAGUAACCGGAAUGUUAGGGAGCGCAAAGAUUUGGUGUCAGAGGGACUUGGGCUUGUCUUGUGGGCUUUUUCUGUGUCGUUUUUCUUUUUUCGUUUUUGUCCAUCUGCCUGGUUUCACCUAGUAGUAGCAACCUUCUAUUGCUAUUAACAGGCCUCAUUUUUCUGGGUUAAGAAAAAAAAUUUCCAUUUUUUAUUUGUUUUAGGGGGUGCUUCGUUAGUGCUGUCUAUUUUUUUUUUAAGGUAAAAAAAAAGUUAGUAGGUUUGACUCCAAUCACCAGUAAUAAAAAGAGUUUUCUACUUAAAUUGGACUUUACUUUUUUAUUGAAAUUUAUAAUUAGAAUAUGCUUCUAGAACUAUGGGUCACCUAUGGAGAUUCUUACAAAUCGCCUAUCAAUACAGCUCUCACUUCUUGUAAAGCUCUCACUUCUUGUAAAGAAGUAACCCGUCCUUAUCAAUUGAGUCAACUUAUGUUGGCGAUAACAAAAGAUUAAUUCAAUUAAAAUCUGAAAGAAUCGUAUGCUUCGUUUAGACUUUUUCUUAGGUAAAUGUAACAGGUUUGCUCAGCACCAAGAAGGUUUCCCCUUCAAUGGAUUUGCUGUUUUUUUGCAGUAAUAACCACAUGAAAAGCAAUAAAAAGAACCCCUUUCAAUGGUUCUCUUAGCGAAUGAGCAAUGAUGAAACAAGCCACGUACAAAACUACAGACAUAGAAUUUACCCUGUUCAGGGGUGAUUCUCUGGUUCUGUGCAGGGUGCACAACUUCAUGCUUACUAAGUACGUCAAGAAGUAGGCAGUAGGUGUGAGCAGAAACCACAUUGCUUGAAGGAAAUCCAAUCCAAGGACAAGAUUAUUACAGAUUUUUCCAUACAUAAAGGAUGCGAGGACGAACACAUUUUUUUUUCCCUGAUAGAAGACAUAAUCAUUAACUCAAGAACAAUUAGAAUUCCGUCUUCCUGUCUCUCUAGUAGGCGUUCAGUUUGUACGAGCUGCUGUAAAUUAAGGGUCAUAUGGGGAAUUGUGAUGGAUACAACAAAUUGUUUGAAAUGCUUAUGACAAACAAAAGCUUAGUUUAAGAACAUUUUCAGGUGUCAAAAGACUUUCAGCGGAACUUCAUCAUCAUCCAAGAAAAGCAACCAAAUGAAUCCAAGAACUUCAGCAUUUGAGUUCAACAGAGGUAGCUGGAGUUUUAUAUUGGAGGAAACAACUGGGAUAACAAGAAU